UCGGGAUGGAAGGAUAAGAACUUAGUGGCGGACGGGUGAGUAACGCGUGGGUAACCUGCCCUUUUGUGGGGAACAACUUCGAGAAAUCGGAGCUAAUACCGCAUAAUAAUAGAGGAUCGCAUGAUUCUUUAAGGAAAGAUGGCCUCUGAAGAUGCUAUCGCAAAAGGAUGGACCCGCGUCUGAUUAGCUAGUUGGAAGGGUAACGGCCUACCAAGGCAACGAUCAGUAGCCGGCCUGAGAGGGUGAACGGCCACAUUGGGACUGAGACACGGCCCAAACUCCUACGGGAGGCAGCAGUGGGGAAUCUUCCGCAAUGGGCGAAAGCCUGACGGAGCAAUGCCGCGUGAGUGAAGAAGGCCUUCGGGUUGUAAAACUCUGUCCUUAUCGAAGAGAGGUAGGUAUGUGAAUAAUGUACCUAUAGGACGGUAGAUAAGGAGGAAGCCCCGGCUAACUACGUGCCAGCAGCCGCGGUAAUACGUAGGGGGCGAGCGUUGUCCGGAAUCACUGGGCGUAAAGGGCGCGUAGGCGGUUUAAUAAGUCAGUGGUGAAAACUGAGGGCUCAACCCUCAGCCUGCCACUGAUACUGUUAGACUUGAGUAUGGAAGAGGAGAAUGGAAUUCCUAGUGUAGCGGUGAAAUGCGUAGAUAUUAGGAGGAACACCAGUGGCGAAGGCGAUUCUCUGGGCCAAGACUGACGCUGAGGCGCGAAAGCGUGGGGAGCAAACAGGAUUAGAUACCCUGGUAGUCCACGCCGUAAG
Molecule: ribosomal RNA, 757 nt
Filed under: uncultured bacterium
Lineage: Bacteria
Description: bacterial SSU rRNA
Rfam family: Bacterial small subunit ribosomal RNA
Source: RNAcentral